Molecule: ribosomal RNA, 348 nt
Filed under: Klebsiella michiganensis
Lineage: Bacteria; Pseudomonadati; Pseudomonadota; Gammaproteobacteria; Enterobacterales; Enterobacteriaceae
Description: partial 23S ribosomal RNA
Rfam family: Bacterial large subunit ribosomal RNA
Source: RNAcentral
GGUUAAGCGACUAAGCGUACACGGUGGAUGCCCUGGCAGUCAGAGGCGAUGAAGGACGUGCUAAUCUGCGAAAAGCGUCGGUAAGGUGAUAUGAACCGUUAUAGCCGGCGAUGUCCGAAUGGGGAAACCCAGUGCAAUUCGUUGCACUAUCGUUAACUGAAUACAUAGGUUAACGAGGCGAACCGGGGGAACUGAAACAUCUAAGUACCCCGAGGAAAAGAAAUCAACCGAGAUUCCCCCAGUAGCGGCGAGCGAACGGGGAGCAGCCCGGAGUCUGAAUCAGCUUGUGUGUUAGUGGAAGCGUCUGGAAAGUCGCAGGGUACAGGGUGAUACUCCCGUACACUAAAA